UACGUAGGGGGGCUAGCGUUGUCCGGAAUCAUUGGGCGUAAAGAGCGUGUAGGCGGUCCGGUAAGUCCGCUGUGAAAGUCGGGGGCUCAACCCUCGAAUGCCGGUGGAUACUGUCGGGCUAGAGUGCGGAAGAGGCGAGUGGAAUUCCUGGUGUAGCGGUGAAAUGCGCAGAUAUCAGGAGGAACACCAAUUGCGAAGGCAGCUCGCUGGGACGUUACUGACGCUGAGACGCGAAAGCGUGGGGAGCAAACAGG
This 254-nucleotide ribosomal RNA is filed under the name uncultured bacterium. RNAcentral's name for it is "partial 16S ribosomal RNA". It matches the Rfam family "Bacterial small subunit ribosomal RNA", at positions 524 to 776 of the family's 1533-position model. The record is from RNAcentral.